Molecule: ribosomal RNA, 596 nt
Filed under: uncultured bacterium
Lineage: Bacteria
Description: bacterial SSU rRNA
Rfam family: Bacterial small subunit ribosomal RNA
Source: RNAcentral
CCUACGGGAGGCAGCAGUGGGGAAUUUUCCGCAAUGGGCGAAAGCCUGACGGAGCAACGCCGCGUGAGGGAUGAAGGCCUCUGGGCUGUAAACCUCUUUUAUCAAGGAAGAAGAUCUGACGGUACUUGAUGAAUAAGCCACGGCUAAUUCCGUGCCAGCAGCCGCGGUAAUACGGGAGUGGCAAGCGUUAUCCGGAAUUAUUGGGCGUAAAGCGUCCGCAGGCGGUCUUGUAAGUCUGUCGUUAAAGCGUGGAGCUCAACUCCAUUUCGGCGGUGGAGACUACAAGACUAGAGUGUGGUAGGGGCAGAGGGAAUUCCCGGUGUAGCGGUGAAAUGCGUAGAUAUCGGGAAGAACACCAGUGGCGAAGGCGCUCUGCUGGGCCAUAACUGACGCUCAUGGACGAAAGCUAGGGGAGCGAAAGGGAUUAGAUACCCCUGUAGUCCUAGCCGUAAACGAUGAACACUAGGUGUCGGGGGAAUCGACCCCCUCGGUGUCGUAGCUAACGCGUUAAGUGUUCCGCCUGGGGAGUACGCACGCAAGUGUGAAACUCAAAGGAAUUGACGGCUGAACGAGCGACGACGACGACGACGGAGGAG